UUUCCCUAUAAUUAGGGAUUCGACCUGCCCGGUGUAAAAUAAUAUAAACGGCUGCGGUAUUUUGACCGUACAAAGGUAGCAUAAUUGAUUGUCUGGAUAAAAAGAGACUUGAUUGAAUGGUUUCACGAAAUAAAUAAUCUUAUAAAAAUUUUUGUAGAACUUAUUUUAAGCGUAAAGAAACGCUCUUUAGAUAAAAAGACGAGAAGACCCUAUAAAAUUUUUACAUUUUUUUUUUUUAAAAAAAAAAAAUGUUUAGACGGGGAAUCUAUAAUAAAAUUAUUAUAAUUAGAUCAACCUUAAUUUUGGUUCUAAGUGGAUAAAAUUACUUUAGGGAUAACAGGACAAUCAUUAUUAGGAGUUCUUAUCAAAAAUAAGGUUUGUUACCUCGAUGUUGAAUCAAAUAGUCUAUUAGCUGGAGAAAGUUAAUAAGACGGCCUGUUCGGCCUUUAAAAAUUUACG
The sequence is a ribosomal RNA, 459 nucleotides long. It matches the Rfam family "Bacterial large subunit ribosomal RNA", at positions 1834 to 2600 of the family's 2925-position model.